GCCUUUGUAGCUCAGUAGGUAGAGCACAUCCAUGGUAAGGAUGGGGUCAGCGGUUCGAAUCCGCUCAAAGGCUCCA
RNAcentral lists this transfer RNA (76 nucleotides) under Eubacterium barkeri. RNAcentral's name for it is "tRNA_Thr_GGT". It matches the Rfam family "tRNA". From Rfam's summary of the family: Transfer RNA (tRNA) molecules are approximately 80 nucleotides in length. Their secondary structure includes four short double-helical elements and three loops (D, anti-codon, and T loops). Further hydrogen bonds mediate the characteristic L-shaped molecular structure. tRNAs have two regions of fundamental functional importance: the anti-codon, which is responsible for specific mRNA codon recognition, and the 3' end, to which the tRNAs corresponding amino acid is attached (by aminoacyl-tRNA synthetases). tRNAs cope with the degeneracy of the genetic code in two manners: having more than one tRNA (with a specific anti-codon) for a particular amino acid; and 'wobble' base-pairing, i.e. permitting non-standard base-pairing at the 3rd anti-codon position. RNAcentral also lists the same sequence under 2 other names. The record is from RNAcentral. Lineage: Bacteria; Bacillati; Bacillota; Clostridia; Eubacteriales; Eubacteriaceae.